UGGGGAAUUUUGGACAAUGGGCGAAAGCCUGAUCCAGCAAUGCCGCGUGUGUGGAGAAGGCCUUCGGGUUGUAAAGCACUUUUGUCCGGAAAGAAAUCCUUGGCUCUAAUACAGUCGGGGGAUGACGGUACCGGAAGAAUAAGCACCGGCUAACUACGUGCCAGCAGCCGCGGUAAUACGUAGGGUGCAAGCGUUAAUCGGAAUUACUGGGCGUAAAGCGUGCGCAGGCGGUUUGCUAAGACCGAUGUGAAAUCCCCGGGCUCAACCUGGGAACUGCAUUGGUGACUGGCAGGCUAGAGUAUGGCAGAGGGGGGUAGAAUUCCACGUGUAGCAGUGAAAUGCGUAGAGAUGUGGAGGAAUACCGAUGGCGAAGGCAGCCCCCUGGGCCAAUACUGACGCUCAUGCACGAAAGCGUGGGGAGCAAAC
Molecule: ribosomal RNA, 426 nt
Filed under: uncultured bacterium
Lineage: Bacteria
Description: partial 16S ribosomal RNA
Rfam family: Bacterial small subunit ribosomal RNA
Source: RNAcentral